CGGGACGGGUGAGUAAUGUCUGGGAAACUGCCUGAUGGAGGGGGAUAACUACUGGAACGGUAGCUAAUACCGCAUAACGUCGCAAGACCAAAGAGGGGGACCUUCGGGCCUCUUGCCAUCGGAUGUGCCCAGAUGGGAUUAGCUAGUAGGUGGGGUAACGGCUCACCUAGGCGACGAUCCCUAGCUGGUCUGAGAGGAUGGCCAGCCACACUGGAACUGAGACACGGUCCAG
This 232-nucleotide ribosomal RNA is filed under the name uncultured bacterium. RNAcentral describes it as "partial 16S ribosomal RNA". It matches the Rfam family "Bacterial small subunit ribosomal RNA", at positions 100 to 334 of the family's 1533-position model. The record is from RNAcentral.